CUCUCUCUUUCUCACUCAGCUUUCUCAGAUCUCGAUUCUCAUUCUCUCAUUCGUCUUCUCUCUCUCUCAAUUCUUCUUCUUAGUCUCUCCCUCUUCUUCUUAGUUUUGAUUUUAGGGUUUGAUUUCAAUUAGGUUUUCCUUCUAUUUAGGGAUGGGGUGAAUGGAUUUUACUUUUCCUCUUAUCCUCGCCAAAAUGACCAACACUGUUCGGUGUUCUAAUUACUGAAAACCCAGACCUCUCUCUCUCUAACUCUCAACCUCCUUCAAUGUCGACGGCAGCGAAACGACGGCAUUCAGUGACUCUUGUCUUGGUCUCUCCAGGAAUAUGAAGUGAAUCACUAAGUGACUCGUCGUCCCUCUCUCUCAAUCUCUCCUGGACGGUCGUCGGCACUAGCCCUCUCCCUCUAUCCUCAAAGGCCGACGGCACCGACUCUUUCUCCUUGAUAAUGAUCAGGUGCAAGUUCUCGUUUAAGCUUUGUUUUUGAAAAAGGUGUUGGCUUUGGUGAAUUUCUCCGGGAUUUAUGUGAUUUGGGUUUUCGUUCGAUUUGGUUUUUAUUGUGUUUUUCAUGCUUUUCUUGCUAGCUUUGGUUGCUGGGAUAUUGAAGACAAAAUAAAAGAGAGAGAAAAUGAAAUGGGCUCUACUAUGAAGAGUUAA
This 655-nucleotide long non-coding RNA is filed under the name Rosa chinensis. RNAcentral describes it as "sRNA RchiOBHm_Chr6g0296501". Lineage: Eukaryota; Viridiplantae; Streptophyta; Magnoliopsida; Rosales; Rosaceae. The record is from RNAcentral.